This 30-nucleotide non-coding RNA is filed under the name Rattus norvegicus (Norway rat). The record is from RNAcentral. Lineage: Eukaryota; Metazoa; Chordata; Mammalia; Rodentia; Muridae.
UGACUGCCUUUGAGGCCUGGAGAUGGUUAU